GGCGGCGGCUUCAACUUCUCCGCUUCCACUCGUGUGAGGCUAGGAGUCCGGGAUGUAAAAAGCAGGAGAAAGCGGAGGCAGGCCCGGGUUGUGAAGGGGAAAGAGGGAACUUGCACCCGGAUACAAUUUUACCACCUGGGCAAGAGGAAGAAAGGCUUUCCUCCAAAGGUCCAGCCAUGAGAAGCCACUAUACUUUGAACUCCUACUAUUUUACUCCAGUGAAUUUCUUGUUCUAACAGUCUUCCCAACUCCCCUACCUCCUCUGUAGAAGAACCAACUCUCCUUUGUUCUCUGGACUUGCCUAUGGUUUUGCUGUAGUUUUCUUGCCCUGGAUGGCAAUUCUCUGCUAUUCCUGGAUAAACCUAUUUUUGCUAGUAAAGUAA
Neofelis nebulosa (Clouded leopard) is the source of this 383-nucleotide long non-coding RNA. RefSeq lists it as uncharacterized. The record is from RefSeq and is a predicted model, not a curated record. Lineage: Eukaryota; Metazoa; Chordata; Mammalia; Carnivora; Felidae. The transcript has 2 exons.